RNAcentral lists this ribosomal RNA (754 nucleotides) under uncultured archaeon. Its description in RNAcentral is "bacterial SSU rRNA". It matches the Rfam family "Archaeal small subunit ribosomal RNA", at positions 102 to 859 of the family's 1478-position model. The record is from RNAcentral.
AGGUAACCUACCCUCAGGACUGAGAUAACCCCGGGAAACUGGGGCUAAUAUUAGAUAGAUAAAAGAUACUGGAAUGUUCUUUUAUCCAAAGCUUUUGCGCCUGAGGAUGGGCCUGCGUCCGAUUAGGUUGUUGGUGGGGUAAUGGCCCACCAAGCCUACGAUCGGUACGGGCAGUGGGAGCUGAAGCCCGGAGUUGGGGACUGAGACAAGGCCCCAGGCCCUACGGGGCGCAGCAGGCGCGAAACCUCUGCAAUGCGGGAAACCGUGACAGGGGGAUCCCAAGUGCUCAUGCAUUGCAUGGGCUGUUCUUUGGUCUAAGUAACCAGAGGAGUAAGGGCUGGGCAAGACCGGUGCCAGCCGCCGCGGUAAUACCGGCAGCUCAAGUGGUAGCCGCGAUUAUUGGGCCUAAAACGUUCGUAGCCGGAUAAGUAAGUCUUUGGUUAAAUCCUGCGACUUAACCGUGGGAAAUCUAGAGAUACUGCUUGUCUUGAGACCGGGAGAGGUUGGAGGUACUCCUAGGGUAGGAGUGAAAUCCUGUAAUCCUAGGGGGACCACCUGUGGCGAAGGCGUCCAACUGGAACGGGUCUGACGGUGAGGGACGAAACCUGGGGGAGCGAGCCGGAUUAGAUACCCGGGUAGUCCUAGGCGUAAAUGAUGCGAGUUAAGUGUGGGGGCAUCUACGAGAUGGCCCUGUGCUGUAGGGUAGCCGUUAAACUCGCUGCCUGGGGAGUACGGUCGCAAGGCCGAAACUUAA